Molecule: long non-coding RNA, 2227 nt
Organism: Dreissena polymorpha
Lineage: Eukaryota; Metazoa; Mollusca; Bivalvia; Myida; Dreissenidae
Exons: 3
Source: RefSeq, a predicted model, not a curated record
UAGAAGGUUUAAUAUACAUUUGGUUAAUCUUAAGUAAUUAUCAGAAAUAAAAAAUCAACUUCGCAUUGCUUUAUUAAAAAAAGCAAAACGCGAUUAAAUAAAUCAUAAGCAUAUUUAAAUAUGCGUCCGCAUUGUGCGCAAUAGACUAUUUACCCGGAAUACAACUUCCUUUCUGAAAAAGUGUAAUGUACUAAAGGCCUAUGUGUGUGCAUCGAGCCUCAAACCAUUUUCGUCAGUCUGGGUCAGCUGGACGUCAGUGUAAACAAUGGUCGCCAUCGCGGAACAGCAAUUAAUCAUCGUAAACAAUGGUCCCCAUCGCGGAACAGCAAGAAAGCAGCGAAAACCAUGGACGUUAUUGCGGAAGAGCAAGAAAGCUACCGAAAACUAUGGUCGUAAUCGCGAAAUAGCAAGAAAGCAGCGUAAACCAUGUUCAGUAUCGCGGAACAGCAAGAAAGCAGCGUAAACCAUGGUCGUUAUCGCGGAACAACAAGAUAGCUACCGAAAAUCAUGUUCGCCAUCGCAGAACAGCAAGACAGCAGCGUAAACCAUGGUCGUUAUCGCGGGUCAGCAAAUAAGCUUUCGAAAACCAUGGUAGUUAUCGCGGAACAGCAAGACAGCAGCGUAAACCAUGGUCGUCCUUGCGAUUUACAAAUUCAAAAGUGCAAUCAGGACAUUAUUGAGUGUCACUUGUUAUGUAGCUCAAACCGUCGUUAUCGUCGCUGUGCUACAAAGUCAGCAGCGCAGACCAUAAUCAUCGUCUACUAGUAAUCAAUACGUCGCUCAAACUUUAGUUCUGGCCUACGAGCAAACGAAUCAGCAGCACAUACCAUGGUCUUCAUGGUCGGGUUACCACGUGAGCAGCACAAACCAGAGUCAUCAUCUCCGAAUUGCAAAUUCAGCAGCGCAAACCAUAAUCUUUAUCGACAUAUUACCGAAAUUCCGCAGAGUGAACCCUAGUUUUCAUCGCCGAGUAACCAAUUCAGCAAGGCAAUCUCUAGUCAUCAUCUACGAACUUCCGAUUCAGGCGCGGCAAACGUACUCUUUAUCGCCAAGUUACCAAGUCAGCAGCUCAAAAAAGCAUGGUCUUUAUUGCCGAGUAGCCAAGUCAGCAUCACAAACCAGCAAACGGUUUGUCGGAGAUGUGUCGGUUAUGAAGCCCUCUGCAGAUAUUAAUGAGGAGAGCAAGAACAGCCAUUCUGCGAUGAUAAUCGACGAUACCAGACUCAUACUUGUAAAAUGACGUCAAGCUUAAAUCUUGGAGGCAAUCCAUUAGAAAAUUAAAACAAGACCGUGAUUGAGGAUGUAGUACUGCAGCAAGGAUAACGUCCGCCGCACGUUUCACUGUACUGUCAUUUUCUCAAGCGUCUAUGGUGACGCGAUAUCCCCAUCGAUGAGAAGAAAAACAGCUGUGCUACACAUAUUAUUCAACUUUUCAAGAGAUAGUAAUUUCUUCCCCAGAUAGUUUGCUACUAAAUAAAUCGUGUGACAAUACCUACUUGAGAUGUUGCGUAUAUUGAAAUUCGCUUAUGUGCUAUUGUGCUAUUUUUUAAUAGUGUGCCGUCAUUGUUAACGGGUUGGCUAUGUUUUAUAGUGUGAUUUUGUAAUGUUUACUUUGUGAUGUAAAUGAAAGUAAGUACAUUUUUGUUUUGACGUUGCUAGUGUAUCGUAGUUUGACGUGUAAUACGUUGUAUCAUUUUGCGAGUUUUAGUGGUUUAUUGCAAAUGUAUGUUAAUCAAAGUCCAAAUAUAAUUUGUAUCUGUAAAUAUAAAGGUGCGAAUAGAUUUUUUUCACUUUGGUCAUUUAGAAUAAACAUAUAAAUUAAAUGGACAGAAGGUGUGUAAAUGUAUAUAGAAUGUAAAUACCCUAUUUAAAUUGUGCACUUUGAUGCAAUAGGCAUAAACUGUAUGAAUUGAUUAAAACAUUUUUUUUUAAAUUUCACAUUUUAGCUUGCUUUUGAAAUGUCGUUUUGCACGUGUAAAUAUGUCUAGUUAAAAUGAUUUACAUUAGUGAAUUCAAAUGUGUGUUUAUUUUUUUUCGCAUAGCCGUUAUGGUUAUUGUUUUGUUGUUGUCAUGCUAAACGUGACCAUGUACGUUAUGUAUUGCUGUAAAUUACACGAACGUCGUCCUUUGAAAAUAAUUAUGUAAACAAAUUGUGAAAAUAGAAUGCAAAUGCAUAAUUCGUCAUACAUAAAUAGUGGUGUUAGUCUAUUAAUUCCAACACACGAAC